RNAcentral lists this ribosomal RNA (501 nucleotides) under uncultured bacterium. Its description in RNAcentral is "partial 16S ribosomal RNA". It matches the Rfam family "Bacterial small subunit ribosomal RNA", at positions 30 to 523 of the family's 1533-position model. The record is from RNAcentral.
AUUGAACGCUGGCGGCAUGCCUUACACAUGCAAGUCGAACGGCAGCACGGGUGCUUGCACCUGGUGGCGAGUGGCGAACGGGUGAGUAAUACAUCGGAACGUACCUUAUCGUGGGGGAUAACGCAGCGAAAGCUGUGCUAAUACCGCAUACGCCCUGAGGGGGAAAGUGGGGGAUCGAAAGACCUCGCGCGAUUAGAGCGGCCGAUGCCUGAUUAGCUUGUUGGUGGGGUAAAAGCCCACCAAGGCGACGAUCAGUAGCUGGUCUGAGAGGACGAUCAGCCACACUGGGACUGGGACACGGCCCAGACUCCUACGGGAGGCAGCAGUGGGGAAUUUUGGACAAUGGGGGCAACCCUGAUCCAGCAAUGCCGCGUGAGUGAAGAAGGCCUUCGGGUUGUAAAGCUCUUUUGUCAGGGAAGAAACACCAGCUCUAACACAGUCCGGGAAUGACGGUACCUGAAGAAUAAGCACCGGCUAACUACGUGCCAGCCGCCGCGGUAA